Molecule: ribosomal RNA, 497 nt
Filed under: uncultured bacterium
Lineage: Bacteria
Description: partial 16S ribosomal RNA
Rfam family: Bacterial small subunit ribosomal RNA
Source: RNAcentral
GAUGAACGCUGGCGGCGUGCCUAAUACAUGCAAGUCGAGCGAACGGACGAGAAGCUUGCUUCUCUGAUGUUAGCGGCGGACGGGUGAGUAACACGUGGAUAACCUACCUAUAAGACUGGGAUAACUUCGGGAAACCGGAGCUAAUACCGGAUAAUAUUUUGAACCGCAUGGUUCAAAAGUGAAAGACGGUCUUGCUGUCACUUAUAGAUGGAUCCGCGCUGCAUUAGCUAGUUGGUAAGGUAACGGCUUACCAAGGCAACGAUGCAUAGCCGACCUGAGAGGGUGAUCGGCCACACGAGAACGGAGACGCGGUCCAGACUCCUACGGUAGGCAGCAGUAGGGAAUGUUCCGCAAUGGGCGAAAGCCUGACGGAGCAACGCCGCGUGAGUGAUGGAGGUCUUCGGAUCGUAAAACUCUGUUAUUAGGGAAGAACAUAUGUGUAAGUAACUGUGCACAUCUUGACGGUACCUAAUCAGAAAGCCACGGCUAACUACGUG